UACGUAGGGUGCAAGCGCUGUCCGGAAUUAUUGGGCGUAAAGAGCUCGUAGGCGGUUUGUUGCGUCGGCUGAGAAAUCCCGAGGCUCAACCUCGGGUCUGCAGUCGAUACGAGCAAACUAGAGUGUUGCAGGGGAGACUGGAAUUCCUGGUGUAGCGGUGAAAUGCGCAGAUAUCAGGAGGAACACCGGUGGCGAAGGCGGGUCUCUGGGCUGACACUGACGCUCAUGCACGAAAGCGUGGGGAGCAAACAGG
Molecule: ribosomal RNA, 253 nt
Filed under: uncultured bacterium
Lineage: Bacteria
Description: partial 16S ribosomal RNA
Rfam family: Bacterial small subunit ribosomal RNA
Source: RNAcentral